AUCAGAAGUGCGAAUGCUGACAUAAGUAACGAUAAAGCGGGUGAAAAGCCCGCUCGCCGGAAGACCAAGGGUUCCUGUCCAACGUUAAUCGGGGCAGGGUGAGUCGACCCCUAAGGCGAGGCCGAAAGGCGUAGUCGAUGGGAAACAGGUUAAUAUUCCUGUACUUGGUGUUACUGCGAAGGGGGGACGGAGAAGGCUAUGUUAGCCGGGCGACGGUUGUCCCGGUUUAAGCAUGUAGGCUGGUUGUCCAGGCAAAUCCGGAUAAUCAAGGCUGAGGUGUGAUGACGAGGCACUACGGUGCUGAAGUAACAAAUGCCCUGCUUCCAGGAAAAG
This 333-nucleotide ribosomal RNA is filed under the name Klebsiella pneumoniae. RNAcentral's name for it is "partial 23S ribosomal RNA". It matches the Rfam family "Bacterial large subunit ribosomal RNA", at positions 1281 to 1617 of the family's 2925-position model. The record is from RNAcentral. Lineage: Bacteria; Pseudomonadati; Pseudomonadota; Gammaproteobacteria; Enterobacterales; Enterobacteriaceae.